RNAcentral lists this transfer-messenger RNA (399 nucleotides) under marine eukaryotic metagenome. It matches the Rfam family "transfer-messenger RNA". Rfam says of the family: Bacterial tmRNA, also known as 10Sa RNA or SsrA, is named for its dual tRNA and mRNA-like properties. The record is from RNAcentral.
GGGGUCGACUGGUUUUGACAGCAGGACGCAUGAAAUGGUAAGCAAGUCGAGCGCUGAAUUAGAGCUCGUAAAUCUCAUUUUUCAUAUUUUUAAAUGGCGAAAAUAACUACGCUCUAGCUGCAUAAUUAACAGAAUUAUAGUAUGUUAAUGCCAAGUCCUGACUAGGUCGGGAAGCUGGAUGUCUCUGGAUAGCCCUUGUUGACGGCGAUUUAUAUUGAGGCACCAUAAAAGUCAACAUCGAAACGUAGGGGCAUCGGUUGCGUUUUACAAUUUAUGAUGUUAAGGGUAUAAUGGAUAGUUUUCGAUCAGCUAUACCUCGAAAAUCAAACGAAAGCUAAACUUGUAGAAAGCUAUUGAAUCACUUGUUUGGACGAGGGUUCGAUUCCCUCCGACUCCACU